Molecule: long non-coding RNA, 486 nt
Filed under: Carica papaya (papaya)
Lineage: Eukaryota; Viridiplantae; Streptophyta; Magnoliopsida; Brassicales; Caricaceae
Description: long non-coding RNA (CPAP_LNC001719)
Source: RNAcentral
CCCCGUCCGGUAUGGGCGCCAAAACCAUGAACCUCAAUACCCCGUCCGGUAUGAGGGUGAAACGGGCCAUCCCCAUACCCCAUCCGGUAUGGGCGCCAAAACACAUAAAGUCUCAAUACCCCGUCCGGUAUGAGAGACCACGUUCCCGGUAGGGUUCCCUAUGGACCCGGUCCGUCCACCAUCUCCCAGGAUAUCUAGUCAGACUGUCCACAUUUUCCACCUAUCAAUUCACAUAACCUUUUUGCCUUUUUUCUUAAUCUCAAUCAUCCAAUCAUACACAACAUGUAAACCAGUAAUUGACACCAAAUAAGACAAUACAGUACCGGGUUCACCAUAAUACAAACCAUAAUAAAAGAAACCAUAGUUCAUGCAUACGAGACCACAACAUAAUUACAUUAAGCUGCAUUUAAUACCGAAAAACUAAAAUGCACUACCGGUACCUGCACAUGUUCCAAAAAAUCCCAAAUCAGAUCUAGGGCCCCUUUC